CGCCCUCUGCGGUGUACGUAACCGCUUUUGGUCCCUUGAACCUAUAUAUUCAAUGCCUGGGGGCCGCUAAAGCAGACGCUGUUGUGCAAGUCCGCCAUGUAGCGGAAAGCCUGAUGCGUCUCGGUGGCUCCCACCUGAACCUUCGGUUCAGGGCAAAGGGGCGGUACGGCACAGGCGGAGGGCGC
This 185-nucleotide non-coding RNA is filed under the name Gammaproteobacteria bacterium. Its description in RNAcentral is "6S RNA". It matches the Rfam family "6S / SsrS RNA". From Rfam's summary of the family: E. coli 6S RNA was the first non coding RNA to be sequenced, but its function was unknown until recently. It consists of 184 nucleotides that fold into an extended hairpin structure with a large single-stranded internal bulge. The 6S RNA specifically associates with RNA polymerase holoenzyme containing the sigma70 specificity factor. The record is from RNAcentral. Lineage: Bacteria; Pseudomonadati; Pseudomonadota; Gammaproteobacteria.